GGAGGGGUGGCCGAGUCCGGUUUAUGGCGGCGGUCUUGAAAACCGUUUGGGCCGCAAGGCUCACGGGGGUUCAAAUCCCUCCCCCUCCGCCA
RNAcentral lists this transfer RNA (92 nucleotides) under Actinobacteria bacterium 13_2_20CM_2_66_6. Its description in RNAcentral is "tRNA-Ser". It matches the Rfam family "tRNA". Rfam says of the family: Transfer RNA (tRNA) molecules are approximately 80 nucleotides in length. Their secondary structure includes four short double-helical elements and three loops (D, anti-codon, and T loops). The record is from RNAcentral. RNAcentral also lists the same sequence under 2 other names. Lineage: Bacteria; Bacillati; Actinomycetota.